AGCUGAUUGCAAGGUGAUCCCAACCAUUAAGCCAAGGUUUUGAAUGCUUUUCCUUAUUUGGCUUCUCCAAUCAGGCUAGAUAUUCCAAUUUCUUUCCCAUUCUGCUCUUGGUCUUCUAACCAGCCAGAUUUGCAUUGGAUUCUUUAUUUGGGCUUCAAAUCAGGCUACUAAACUUCUUUCCAAGUUUGAAUACGGGUCAACCCCAAAAAUGGCAUGUUUUCAUUUCUUUUGACUUCAAAUUGAUCCUAAAAUGCAGGAGUGAAAAUUCCAACUCACCUAAUUUAGGCCAAAGUAGAACGACAAAGACGUGAAAAGGAAGAAGGCGUACUUUCAAACUAUACUUUGUUACACAUCUAAGGAAAACCUUAAUGCUAGUCAAACAUUGCAAAUUUGUGGAGAAAACCGCUUUGACACAAAGUAAGCCAUAAAUUCGAAAAGGAACCUGUAAGUGGAAGAGUAAUGCCGUAUUGAGUACCAAGCCAAAACCAACCAAUUCACAAUUAAAAAAAUAAGUGCUCAAUAUAUUCAGGAUUAUUGUAACAGAGUUAGCAUAUUGGAACCAGAGAAAUACCCUGUCGUUGAAGUUGAUCCUCUAUUGGCAUCUUAUUGAAAAUAAUCCUCCAAACUAAAAUAGAGUAGCAAGGUGGAAUGAAAGGACACCAUCAGUUUUGAUAACAUGUUCGGGAUAAGUUUGAUGACUUAUCUUCGGGAUGAGCUUGUGUUUUGUGACGUUUAUAUAUUGCAUUUCUAAGUUGUAACCCCAAGUUGAAGCUAGAAUUCUGAGAAUUGACCUUUUUAAUGUUUAACUAUCUUUCCUUCUGGUUUGCUAUUGAAAAGUCAUCUUUAUAAAUAUGGGUUGUAAUUUUUAGUGGAUAUAUUUAGUUAUGCAUUCAUCUUGCUAAUAUGUUGAUAAUGCAUAGUGUUGUUUUUACUUUCAAUCAAUGACAUAAAGCAUAUCAGAGUUUCAUAUUAGUUUGUUCUUCUUUCGCCAUUCUGUGGGUUAUUAGGUAUUAUAAAAGCAUGUUCGACCUCUAGAGGUUCAACCCGCUCUUGUUUGGUAUCGGUUCGAUUAUCGUUUCUUCUUCAGUUUUUUCCACUUAGCCUUCGGGAUUUUUUUUUUUUCCCUCUAGUCUUCUUUGAUGGAAAAUUGAUAUUUUUAUUCUUCGUUUUUGUUGAUAUUG
This 1181-nucleotide long non-coding RNA is filed under the name Malus domestica (apple). RNAcentral's name for it is "long non-coding RNA (MDOM_LNC002541)". Lineage: Eukaryota; Viridiplantae; Streptophyta; Magnoliopsida; Rosales; Rosaceae. The record is from RNAcentral.